Sebastes umbrosus (honeycomb rockfish) is the source of this 235-nucleotide long non-coding RNA. RefSeq lists it as uncharacterized. The transcript is spliced from 3 exons. Lineage: Eukaryota; Metazoa; Chordata; Actinopteri; Perciformes; Sebastidae. The record is from RefSeq and is a predicted model, not a curated record.
CAUUUUCUGACAUUUUAUAGACCAACCAACUAAUCAAUUAAUGGAGAAAAUAAUCAACAGAUUAGUCAACAAUGAAAAUAAUCGUUAGUUGCAGCCCUAACGUGAAUAAUUUGAUAUUUUUUGUUCUCGUUCAAAAACAUUCUCAACCAACCCUGCGAGAUAAAGUCCAAUGUUUGUCAUCUUGUGUUUUUUCUCAUUGUCAAACUGAGCUUUAAUAAAAUAAUAAAAUGUGAUA